Long non-coding RNA from Zophobas morio, 421 nucleotides. RefSeq lists it as uncharacterized. Lineage: Eukaryota; Metazoa; Arthropoda; Insecta; Coleoptera; Tenebrionidae. The record is from RefSeq and is a predicted model, not a curated record. The transcript is spliced from 2 exons.
UUUAAAUUAACGAUUUUUCGGCAAAAUAAAUACAAAAUGAAUACUUGUUAACUUUAAUGCCAAUGAAUUUUGUACCUGUAAAUUUUUCACAAACUUCCUACUCCAGGCUUGGAGGACAUACCAUAAUUUUACUAUAAAUAUUGAAAACAUCAUCGUGGUUAUCAUUAUUACCACUAACUUCCAACAGUUCAACAUGUUCAAGUUUUUGCUUUUCUUGGCUCUCGUCGCUUUUGCUUUAGCUGUCCCUAAAGCCCGCCCUCAGUACUUGGGCGCUGGUCUUUAUGGAGGUUAUUCAUCUUUGGGAUAUUCGUCUUUGGGAUAUGCUCCAUAUGGUAGUUACGGUUUAGGAUAUGGAUAUGGAUACAUUUAAAUUUGUACUUAUGAUAGACUUUUACAACAAUAAAAUUUAUUAAACAAAGAA